GUCGAGAAUAAUUCACAAUGGGGGCAACCCUGAUAGUGCAACGCCGCGUGGAGGAUGAAGGUCUUCGGAUUGUAAACUCCUGUCAUCCGGGAGUAAGACCUGGGCGUGAAGAGCGCACAGGGUUGAUAGUACCCGAAGAGGAAGGGACGGCUAACUUCGUGCCAGCAGCCGCGGUAAUACGAAGGUCCCAAGCGUUGUUCGGAAUCACUGGGCGUAAAGGGAGCGUAGGCGGCGUGGUAAGUCAGAUGUGAAAUCCCGGGGCUCAACCCCGGAACUGCAUCCGAUACUGCCAUGCUUGAGGGUUGGAGAGGUAGCUGGAAUUCUCGGUGUAGCAGUGAAAUGCGUGGAUAUCGAGAGGAACACUCGUGGCGAAGGCGAGCUACUGGACAACAUCUGACGCUGAGGCUCGAAGGCCAGGGGAGCAAAAGGGAUUAGAUACCCGAGUAGUCC
Molecule: ribosomal RNA, 450 nt
Filed under: uncultured bacterium
Lineage: Bacteria
Description: partial 16S ribosomal RNA
Rfam family: Bacterial small subunit ribosomal RNA
Source: RNAcentral